GGCAGGGGCUCGAGAUGCGCCCGGGGAGGCAGCGCGGAGCCGCCCGCCCGCCCGCCCACACGGCGCUGCACGUGCCCCGAGCCGGCAUGCGGGAGCCCCGGGGCCGCCUGCUCCUUCCCUCCCCACCCCGGCCCCAGAACAGCCGGGACCCGCCUUCUCCGCGCCUCCUGGAUGCUUAGUGCUACCUUUUACACGUGGCUGCUCACUAAUUACCGUACAUUUACUUAGUGUUAAUUAACGCUCAUGUUGCUUACUGUUCUAAUUAUUUCUCAUUCUAGCGGUGCACGAUCGUCAUGACGUUAAUAAGAUGAUUUUUAACAUUAUUAUCAUGACAUUAAUGAAUUGAUUUUUAAAAUCCGUUGGGCGUGCACAACGCGCUCUGCACAUCCAGCUUCCAAAACAGUUGCGUGGGCGCUAGAAACCCUGGGCUGGGCAUCAGCUAAUCGCUAUUAUUGCGGUACUGCUACGUCAUAAUUAUUCUUGAUAUAGUAUUGUAAUUACUGUGACUGGCUAUGUAGUAUUCCUGUUUUUGAGAGCCGGUGUGUUUCCUGCGCUCGAUGGAGGUGAACGACUUCUUUUCUUUUCCCCUCCCCUUUUCUUCAGUUAACUCUGAGUCUGGGUCACCCGCUGCAAUUCGCCCUCCGUGCAUUUCGUGGUUGUGUCGGGGGUGAGAUUUUGGGGAGGUAAAAAUCCUUUUAAAAAUAAAUAAAUCAAUCUCUGGCUGCUUUUCUGGGGGCUGGGGGUGCAUAGUGAAGGUUCAGGGGUGCUCAUCAGGGAGAAGCCCAAAGCUGCCUGCGGGGCCCCGGCUCCUCCAUCCCGCCCACCAGGCUGAAGGUGGUUGCUUAUUCCCAGUUCCUUUUUCAAAGCUAAUCUAGACCCAAUCAAAGCUUGUUGUUAAUGAAUUACACAUUUUAAAUAGAAUUUCGUUGCAUAUUUGUUAAUGAAUAUGCAAAAUAAUAUUCUUCAUCAAGGACAGAGCCCUAAAUAAAGGUCAGAUUAGGAUGGGAUUAUGGGGCAAAUUACUUCUUGGGCCACCCCAAACAGCCUGUUGGCACCACGGGACUGUCCCAGAGCACCUCGACCACAGGAUUGCCCAGCCCAAAGUGCGGUUUGGCCGUGCUGGCUGCCAGCUGACAUCCCCUGCCCCUGUACUAAGUAUGUGGGCGUGAGUUAGGAACUAGUUUUUGGGCUGCGAUUAUAGCCAGAAAUCCUUCUUGGGCCACCCCACGCCAUGCCUCUAUGGCACCGGGGGACUCUCCCGGACACCACUGACCAGUCUGGCCCAGACCAGAGCGUGGUUUCUUCCUGCCAGGCUGCCAACUAACAGCCCCCCAUUCCCAUGGUACUAAGUAUACACGCUUGACUAAGGACCCGGCAUUUGGGCUGAGAUUACAGACUGAAUUGAUGACCAGUGUCUUGCCUGGCCCAGAUGGUGUGGGGUGGCCCAAAAUGGAUUUCCAGCCAUGAUCCCAGCUGUCACCAGAUUUGCCUGUCACUGAUGAGGUGUGUGUGUGAGUGGAGGGGGUGGAAAUAGAAAAAGUCCUUUGUAAAUCCAGCAAGCUGGGUGCCAGGGCUCCCUCAGGACCACAGAGCUGGCAGGCAACACAGCCCCAAAGCCAAUUCCUUAUUCAAGCCCAGAUACUUAGUACAGUGCCUGGGGGGCUGUCAGAUGGAUGCCUGGCAUGAACAAACUUACUUCAGGAUGUGUAAUUCAUUCAUAAGAAGCUUUUAUUGGGUCUAGAUUAGCUUUGAAAAGGGAAAGGGGAACCGAGACUCAGGAAUAAGGAACUGGGAAUCAGCAGCCAACUUCAGCCUCAUUCCCGUGUCGGCAUGGCUGGCAUGAUGGGUCUUCAUUUAUUUUUAACUUUGGUUGUAAACAAGUCGUAGCGGCACCAAAUCCAUCUUUAAAUUUAAAAAAAAACAUAAUCUGGGUAGCUGACUUUGAUUUCCUCCAGCCGGUGGUCAGAAAGAAUAAAAACCCUCAUUUGUCAAAAUUUGCCUCUUUAUUAGCUGGAGUUCGGGGCUGUUUAUUCUGGAUUUGAUCUUUUAUUAUUAUGAUUAUUAUUGUGAUGAUUAGUGGUAUUAUUAGUAUUCUUCUUUCUCCUCCCCACCCCCACCGGUCCUGAGUUAUUUCAGCUCUGCCCAGAGAGCACAUGAUGGGGCAAUGGCCCCCUCCCCUCCUUCCCUCGCAACCACAUAACCGGCCUUCCUAAUGGCUAGAGGCAGGAAGGGGAUUGCUGCUGGGUCCUGCUCACUCAUCAGAGACAAGAUUGGCUCGUGGCUGGUCUGUCUGUCCCCUGUACCUCCCGCGGCCCGAGAGCAGAGGAGGGCUCUUCUCCCUGCCCUCCAUGCAGCUACAGCCAGGUAGCUCUUUCCCUCUGUGAACUGGGUGCUGGGAGUGGUGCUCCAGUGGUGCAGAAAAUGCCAUCCCCUGCCUCUAGCAUGACUUGAAACCAAAAGUCCCAUGGAAGCCAGUGACGGCGAACCUUUAUGGGGUUUUAUUUUCUUUUUUCCAAUCCUCUUCCUUUUACAACGAGGUGUCUAUGAAACGGCAUCUUCACAUUUUCUCUUAACUUUUUAAUCCUGAGCCAUUUUGGUUGUGGCCAGCCUCAGGGCACUCAUGCUUACCAAAUCAAAUGGAGAUGCGCAGAAGUGAGACAGGUUUUCCUGUAGAUUGUCCGAAGAGGCUUCAUCUUUUGUUAAGUGCACUGAUGGCGUCUGUCUUGGGGCGGUGGAUUGUUCUUGGUGCUGUGUAUUGAGCUGGUCCCUGAGGGAAUCAUGAUUAAUUGGUAACUGGUAACAGCCGGGCCUGCGGUGAUCCCAGGUCCCAUGCCUCAAAACAGACACAGUUGCACGAGCACCCAUGUCACGAGUUUUGCCUGUCAGCAGCCAAAGGUGCAGGCCCCCGAGCCCAGAAGCCCUGCGCCGAUCCCCUCGCCAGCUGCCAGGCCUCGUGGCCGCAGCAGGGGCCACCAUCGCUGCAGUUUCCAGCCCGCUGCACCUUAACACACAUGGUCAUCUAUGUCACGAGUUUUGCCUGUCAGCAGCUCGAGGUGCAGUUCCCCCAAAACCCUACACCAAUCAUCUUGAAGCUUGGCAGGUUUCAUGGCCUCGGCGAGGCUACCGCCCCUGCAGUUUUCACCCCGCUGUGGCGUAACACAUACACGCGACAUGAGUUUUGCUUUCAAGAAUGUGGGGUGCAUUUCCCCCGAUCCCCUGCACCGAUCUUCUUGAAACUCGGCAGGCUUCAUGCUCUCAACAGGGGCUACCACCCCUGCAAGCUUCACCCAAAUCAGGCAAAAAACAACAAAGCUGUGGAUAUUUCACUGAUUCCCCAUUAUACCCUAUGGCCGGGUCUCCGAGGCGGCUCCGAAGCUUCCUACUCACACAGGCCGACUCGUGACUACAAUGGACUGCAGAACCCAGAUCUCCUCUAAGCAGGCUUACCUCUAUCGUCACAUCCACAGCUGCCCCAUUCAGGCCAUGGAAAGCUGUCUGUGCACCAGGCAUGGCAGGAUCGGCGCUGGGACAGUUGGCUGUGCCGGCCUCAGAGAAUGGGAGAGCUUUGCAUCUCCCUGGGUGAUUAUAGGGUCAAAUUUCUGAGGACACGUACUUUUGGGGCAUCCUGAAACAAAGACACAUUUUAAUGGGAUGGAAAGAGGGUCAAACCUGUUUCAAAGGAAGUGUAGAGAGAGUGUCUGAUCUUCUGGGGAAGGGAUGUUGACUGUCAGCACGAAGACUUCUUACAUGAGCUCUGUACAAUGGGAAACAGCGACGGAGAAGAGGUGGUGGGAGGUAGCCAGCAAAGUCAGUGACAUUUAGGAGGCAGCAGUGCAGUACUUGGACGUACCAAGUAGUUAUUUCAUCUCCGUGAGCAAUUUUAAUUCUUUUUCAGCAAAAUCUUAAAAACUUGAAGACCUGGACUUCUUCAGCUGUGCCAUCACAAACCUGAAGGAUUACAGGGAAAGGAUUUUUGAGCUGCUUCAGGAGAUCACCUACCUAGAUUGAUUUGAUCAGGAAGAAAGGGAUGAGGAGGAUGAAGCAGAUGAAGACGAAGCUGGUCCACCAGGAGAGUACAAAGAAGAUGAAGAUGAUGGAGGUUCAGAUUUGGGGGAGGGUGAAGAGGAGGAAGAAGCUGGCCUUUCAUACCUGAUGACGGACAGGAUCCAGCUGCUGCUUUUCAUCCCACCGGUAUGGGGCCAUAUGUUGGCUGGCAGACCUGCGCCAGAGUGAAGCCCUGGCCCUUCUUGUUUAUCCAGGCCGUGGUGGUGCAUGGGCCAGGUUGGCGCUUUGCUGCCUGGGCCUUCUUUUGCCCCUUUUGCAGAUUCGGUGAUUCAUAUCACCAUCCCGAUUUGAUUCGGCCGAAUCACCGAAUCAGCCAGGCCAGGUCCAUCCCCAGCCCUCUCCCAGCCCGGCAACGGAUGCUCCAGCUCCCAGCACUUGUAAAAAAAACGCCCUGGCUCAGUGGGUGCUGCCGGACACGGGUGAUCCCUGCUGCCCCCCCACACUGCCCCAUGCUGCAUGGGGGCCUCUGCACAAGCCCCCAACACCCCCCUUCACUCCCCCAACCCUGCCACGGGUGCUCCACAUGGGCCAGCUCCAGCCCUCUAAGAACAAAAAAACCCCAAAAACGCCCCGGGACGGACUGCUCCUGCCAGGGGUUGAGGAGUAAUCCCUGCUGCCCCCCACUUCCCCGCACCAUGUGGGGGCUAUGCACAAGUCCCCGAAGCCCUGAGGCUGCUGCAGGAGCGGCAGCAUGGGGCAGGGGGGGCAGCGGGGAUCGCCCCUGCCCAGCAGCACCCGGUCAGCACUGGAGCUUUGCUUUAAAGUACUGAGCUGGGGGGUGGGGGAGGCACCAU
Molecule: long non-coding RNA, 4859 nt
Organism: Alligator mississippiensis (American alligator)
Lineage: Eukaryota; Metazoa; Chordata; Crocodylia; Alligatoridae
Exons: 3
Source: RefSeq, a predicted model, not a curated record